GGGUGAGUAACACGUGGGUAACCUGCCCUGAUGAUCGGGACAACCCGAGGAAACUCGGGCUAAUACCGAAUGUGCUCUUGAACCGCAAGGUUCUCGAGGAAAGGAAGCUUCGGCCUCCGCAUCGGGAUGGGCCCGCGGCCCAUUAGCUUGUUGGUGGGGUAACGGCCUACCAAGGCUUCGAUGGGUAGCUGGUCUGAGAGGACGAUCAGCCACACUGGGACUGAGACACGGCCCAG
This 236-nucleotide ribosomal RNA is filed under the name uncultured bacterium. RNAcentral's name for it is "partial 16S ribosomal RNA". It matches the Rfam family "Bacterial small subunit ribosomal RNA", at positions 104 to 334 of the family's 1533-position model. The record is from RNAcentral.